This is a long non-coding RNA of Etheostoma cragini (Arkansas darter), 227 nucleotides long. RefSeq lists it as uncharacterized. The record is from RefSeq and is a predicted model, not a curated record. The transcript has 2 exons. NCBI's taxonomy places the organism in Eukaryota, Metazoa, Chordata, Actinopteri, Perciformes, Percidae.
UGAAGUUUCUUCCCUCUAAUUCACGACUUUGUCCUCGCUAACACCGCUCCGUCUCUGCAUUCACUCUCUAGCUCGCUCGACCACUGCUGCUCUCUCUCUCUCCGGGGAGGGGCCAACUUUGAACGCAGUGUUACAAACACCACCUGGAAAAAGUAACAUAUUACUACUAUUACUUUUCACCUUUCAAUCAAUGGCAAAUUGCAGGAUACCUCAUUCUGUUGAUAUAC